GACGAACGCUGGCGGCGUGCUUAACACAUGCAAGUCGAACGGUGAAGCGCCUUCCUUUUUGGUGGGUGUGGAUGAGUGGCGAACGGGUGAGUAACACGUGAGUAACCUGCCCCCUUCUUCUGGAUAACCGCAUGAAAGUGUGGCUAAUACGGGAUAUUCUGGGUCUGUCGCAUGAUGGGUCUGGGAAAGAUAUUGUUUCGGUGGGGGAUGGGCUCGCGGCCUAUCAGCUUGUUGGUGGGGUGAUGGCCUACCAAGGCGGUGACGGGUAGCCGGCCUGAGAGGGUGGACGGUCACACUGGGACUGAGACACGGCGCAGACUCCGACGGGAGGCAGCAGUGGAGAAUAGUGCACAAGGGGCGGAAGCCUGAUGCAGCGACGCCGCGGGAGGGAUGGAGGCCGUCGGGUUGUGAACCUCUUUCGCCAGUGAAGCAGGCCUGCCUCGUUUGUGGGUGGGUUGACGGUAGCUGGAUAAGAAGCGCCGGCUAACUACGUG
RNAcentral lists this ribosomal RNA (494 nucleotides) under uncultured bacterium. RNAcentral's name for it is "partial 16S ribosomal RNA". It matches the Rfam family "Bacterial small subunit ribosomal RNA", at positions 28 to 507 of the family's 1533-position model. The record is from RNAcentral.